UUGUGGAGGAGGACGCCGAAGGUGGGGCUGAUGACUGGGGUGAAGUCGUAACAAGGUAGCCGUACCGGAAGGUGCGGCUGGAUCACCUCCUAACAGGGAGACAACAACUGAUCAUGAUGUCUGAGUUAUUUAUUCUUAGGCCUUGAUCCUGUCACCUUAAGGUCGAUCGGUACCUCAAGUCUAUAUCCAAUUAAAAAUUGAGAAAUUAAUUUUGAGAUUGGUGUUUGAAUUUCAGUUCCUAAACUUUGUCUAGUUCACACCCAACAAGUGUUCUCCUGGGCCAUUAGCUCAGGUGGUUAGAGCGCACCCCUGAUAAGGGUGAGGUCCCUGGUUCAAGUCCAGGAUGGCCCAUUCGGUGUUGGGGGUAUAGCUCAGUUGGUAGAGCGCCUGCUUUGCAAGCAGGAUGUCAGCGGUUCGAGUCCGCUUACCUCCACUGAUCAACCUACUGAUGACGAACUCGAAGGAGAUUAACUUUGUUAGCUGUGAUUUAGACUUUUGUUUAACUGAAUAGAACCUAGCUUCUUAUCAUCCAAAAUUCUAAAUAAUUAAUUAGAUCAGGUUGAUAUGACGCUGGGCUCCCUGAAAUUCUUAAAGGACUUUCAGAGAUCUUCAGUAGAACCUUGACAACUGCAUAGGUGAGUCUGGAAAGAAUAAAGCAUCUCAUGGAUGCAUUGUUCAAUAACAGAAAUUAUCUGAUUCAUUGAAUAAUGUUUGAUUCUUGAGCAAGAGCUGAGACUCUAUUUAGUUCUUUUAAUGCUGUCGAGGCAUUAAAAGUUAGAUUAUUGAUUAAAUUUUUAUUUUUUAAUUAAUAAGAAUAGUGCUAACACACACAUGACUUUAUAGAGAUUAAUUGGUCAAGCUACAA
This 865-nucleotide unclassified non-coding RNA is filed under the name uncultured Prochlorococcus sp. RNAcentral describes it as "partial 16S-23S ribosomal RNA intergenic spacer; may also contain 16S ribosomal RNA and 23S ribosomal RNA". The stretch from base 1 to 93 matches the Rfam family "Bacterial small subunit ribosomal RNA", at positions 1441 to 1533 of the family's 1533-position model. The record is from RNAcentral. Lineage: Bacteria; Bacillati; Cyanobacteriota; Cyanophyceae; Synechococcales; Prochlorococcaceae.